GACGAACGCUGGCGGCGUGCCUAAUACAUGCAAGUCGAGCGGACUUUCCGGAGUGCUUGCACUCCGGAAGGUUAGCGGCGGACGGGUGAGUAACACGUAGGCAACCUGCACAUAAGACCGGGAUAACAUUCGGAAACGAAUGCUAAUACCGGAUAGACGGACCUCUCGCAUGAGGGGAUCGGGAAAGGCGGAGCAAUCUGUCGCUUAUGGAUGGGCCUGCGGCGCAUUAGCUGGUUGGUGGGGUAACGGCCUACCAAGGCGCCACUGCUUAGCCGACCUGAGAGGGUGAUCGCCCACACUGGUGCUGAGACAGCGCCCAGACUCCUACGGGAUGCACCAGUGUCGCAUCUUCCUCAAUGGACACAAGUCUUACGCACCAACGCCACGUGAGUGAGGAAGGCCUUCUGGUCGUAAAGCUCUGUUGCCAGGGAAAAACCGGUCUGGGAGUAACUGCCCUUGCCAUAACGGUACCUGAGAAGAAAGCCCCGGCUAACUACGUG
This 500-nucleotide ribosomal RNA is filed under the name uncultured bacterium. RNAcentral's name for it is "partial 16S ribosomal RNA". It matches the Rfam family "Bacterial small subunit ribosomal RNA", at positions 28 to 507 of the family's 1533-position model. The record is from RNAcentral.